Molecule: ribosomal RNA, 609 nt
Filed under: Pseudomonas sp. 5AGIII
Lineage: Bacteria; Pseudomonadati; Pseudomonadota; Gammaproteobacteria; Pseudomonadales; Pseudomonadaceae
Description: bacterial SSU rRNA
Rfam family: Bacterial small subunit ribosomal RNA
Source: RNAcentral
AGAGAGCUUGCUUCUCUUGAGAGCGGCGGACGGGUGAGUAAUGCCUAGGAAUCUGCCUGGUAGUGGGGGAUAACGUUCGGAAACGAACGCUAAUACCGCAUACGUCCUACGGGAGAAAGCAGGGGACCUUCGGGCCUUGCGCUAUCAGAUGAGCCUAGGUCGGAUUAGCUAGUUGGUGAGGUAAUGGCUCACCAAGGCGACGAUCCGUAACUGGUCUGAGAGGAUGAUCAGUCACACUGGAACUGAGACACGGUCCAGACUCCUACGGGAGGCAGCAGUGGGGAAUAUUGGACAAUGGGCGAAAGCCUGAUCCAGCCAUGCCGCGUGUGUGAAGAAGGUCUUCGGAUUGUAAAGCACUUUAAGUUGGGAGGAAGGGCAUUAACCUAAUACGUUAGUGUUUUGACGUUACCGACAGAAUAAGCACCGGCUAACUCUGUGCCAGCAGCCGCGGUAAUACAGAGGGUGCAAGCGUUAAUCGGAAUUACUGGGCGUAAAGCGCGCGUAGGUGGUUUGUUAAGUUGGAUGUGAAAUCCCCGGGCUCAACCUGGGAACUGCAUUCAAAACUGACUGACUAGAGUAUGGUAGAGGGUGGUGGAAUUUCCUGUGUAG